GCCUGGGUGGCUCAGUCGGUUAAGCGUCUGACUUCGGCUCAGGUCAUGAUCUCACAGUCUGUGGGUUCAAGCCCCGCAUUGGGCU
Molecule: transfer RNA, 85 nt
Filed under: Felis catus (domestic cat)
Lineage: Eukaryota; Metazoa; Chordata; Mammalia; Carnivora; Felidae
Rfam family: tRNA
About the family: Transfer RNA (tRNA) molecules are approximately 80 nucleotides in length. Their secondary structure includes four short double-helical elements and three loops (D, anti-codon, and T loops).
Source: Rfam by way of RNAcentral